CGCUCCCGAGCGUCCAUAGCGGCGGAGCGGUUUGGCACCUCGAUGUCGGCUCAUCACAUCCUGGGGCUGAAGGCGGUCCCAAGGGUUGGGCUGUUCGCCCAUUAAAGUGGUACGCGAGCUGGGUUCAGACCGGCGUGAGCCAGGUCGGUCCCUAUCUGCUGUGGGCGUCGCAAUAUUGACAGGAUUUCUCCCUAGUACGAGAGGAUUGGGAGGGACUCACCCCUGGUGUGCCAGUUGGACCGCUCGGUCCACGGCUGGGUAGCUAAGUGAGGCAGGGAUAACCGCUGAAAGCAUCUAAGCGGGAAGCCCCCCUGGAGAUGAGUAUUGCAUGUCUUUGACGUGAGACCCCUGGUAGACCACCAGGUUGAUAGGCUGCAUGUGUAAGGGCCGAAAUGCCUUGAGCUAAGCAGUACUAACGGUCGAUGAUCUGAUCCG
This 435-nucleotide ribosomal RNA is filed under the name Phycisphaerales bacterium. Its description in RNAcentral is "partial 23S ribosomal RNA". It matches the Rfam family "Bacterial large subunit ribosomal RNA", at positions 2487 to 2925 of the family's 2925-position model. The record is from RNAcentral. Lineage: Bacteria; Pseudomonadati; Planctomycetota; Phycisphaerae; Phycisphaerales.